This 325-nucleotide unclassified non-coding RNA is filed under the name Hevea brasiliensis (rubber tree). Lineage: Eukaryota; Viridiplantae; Streptophyta; Magnoliopsida; Malpighiales; Euphorbiaceae. The record is from RNAcentral.
CAGCGAGGUGCCGCCGCCGCCGCCGAUAGCCCUAAUUCUCGCCCUCAGUGAAGACUACGUCAAUAAAAGUUGAAAUAUUGGCAGCCGAGGCAUGGGCACAUCGUCGGGGCCCGAAUUCCAGCAUCAGCAGCCGCCAAAGAUGCUCCCCCCGCGGCAGCACCCUCGCCCCUCCGGCUUGCAAACGUCGCUAUCGCUGGCGUCCUCCGACCCCGGCCGGUCGCCGGACCUCCCGGAGCCCGGAUCCAACUCUGAUCGUGCUAUUUCCCCCUCCGACAGCAGCAGUUCUAGAGAAACCUGGCCGAUCGAGACCGGGAAGAAGGUGGAG